GGAGGGAAUAACUACUAAGAAGUAGNGACUAAACCGCAUAAGCGCACAGCUUCGCAUGAAGNGGUGUGAAAAACUCUGGUGGUAUACGAUGGUUCCGCGUCUGAUUAGCUUGUUGGCGGGGUAAUGGCUCACCAAGGCGACGAUCAGUAGCCGGCCUGAGAGGGUGAACGGCCACAUUGGGACUGAGACACGGCCCAAACUCCUACGGAAGGCAGCAG
Molecule: ribosomal RNA, 218 nt
Filed under: uncultured bacterium
Lineage: Bacteria
Description: partial 16S ribosomal RNA
Rfam family: Bacterial small subunit ribosomal RNA
Source: RNAcentral